UGACGAGAGAUGACUGAUUUCCUCACAAGGAAGAAGAACUUGAAGAUUCAAAGUGAGGAUGAUUGCUGUGUAUACUUCUCUCUUGUAAAAAUGUUCUUCUUCUUGUAUUAUUGUAUUCUUCCCUUCUUGUCUUGAUUUUUGAGGUUCCCUCCAAUAUAUGUCCCAGCUCAGAAAGGGAAUUUGAAAUCAAAUUCUAGCUGUUCUGACAUUUUUCUUUCUGUUAGAGGAAAAAGACAAAAUCUGUUGCGAGAAAAAAAAACUAGCCGUUUUAGAGCUGCUAGCGAAGUAGGGGUCGCCUCAUUCAUUCAGGGGUCGACUCACGUGAUGCAAGAGUCGACUCAUGACAAACA
RNAcentral lists this long non-coding RNA (350 nucleotides) under Phoenix dactylifera (date palm). Its description in RNAcentral is "long non-coding RNA (PDAC_LNC018018)". The record is from RNAcentral. Lineage: Eukaryota; Viridiplantae; Streptophyta; Magnoliopsida; Arecales; Arecaceae.